This 353-nucleotide ribosomal RNA is filed under the name uncultured bacterium. RNAcentral describes it as "partial 16S ribosomal RNA". It matches the Rfam family "Bacterial small subunit ribosomal RNA", at positions 338 to 683 of the family's 1533-position model. The record is from RNAcentral.
CCUACGGGUGGCAGCAGUGGGGAAUAUUGCGCAAUGGGCGAAAGCCUGACGCAGCGACGCCGCGUGAGGGAUGAAGGUCUUCGGAUCGUAAACCUCUGUCAGCAGGGAAGAAAGGUCACUGUGCUAGUCAGCAGUGAAUUGACGGUACAUGCAAAGGAAGCACCGGCUAACUCCGUGCCAGCAGCCGCGGUAAUAAGGAGGGUGCGAGCGUUAAUCGGAAUUACGGGGCGUAAAGCGCUCGUAGGAGGUAUGUCAAGUCAAGGGUGAAAGCCCCGCGCUCAACGUGGGAACUGCCUGUGAAACUGGCAAACUGGAGUGUGUGAUAGGAUAGUGGAAUUCCAGGUGUAGGAGUG